Long non-coding RNA from Hibiscus syriacus, 358 nucleotides. RefSeq lists it as uncharacterized. NCBI's taxonomy places the organism in Eukaryota, Viridiplantae, Streptophyta, Magnoliopsida, Malvales, Malvaceae. The record is from RefSeq and is a predicted model, not a curated record. The transcript has 2 exons.
AAAAGAGUUCUGAGUCGUUCCUCGUUGAUACAGCCAUGUGUUCUGCUUUGGUUGCUGCAUCAGACACUGUCCACCGAUGCACGGAGUUUCGAUUUGGGCUUGAGAGGAAAUUCAGCGGUGGAAAGAUCCUGAUCUUAUUUCCUGGCAUCAAUUGUUGCCAUGCUCAUACAUGUUUCCGGCAGACGCAUCGGUGACGACGAUUCAGGUGCCUAUACUUAUGAUGCUUGGUUUAUGGAAUUGUAUUGUUUAGAUGAAUGUGAUGAUGUUCUUGUUGAGAUUGAAUGGCUUGUGGUGGCCUUGUGUUGUUUAACGGGCGACAAGAAAAAUGUGUUCUUUAAAUCAUUUCUAGGAAAUGAGA